This 440-nucleotide ribosomal RNA is filed under the name uncultured bacterium. Its description in RNAcentral is "partial 16S ribosomal RNA". It matches the Rfam family "Bacterial small subunit ribosomal RNA", at positions 338 to 795 of the family's 1533-position model. The record is from RNAcentral.
CCUACGGGUGGCAGCAGUGGGGAAUAUUGCACAAUGGGGGAAACCCUGAUGCAGCGACGCCGCGUGAGCGAUGAAGUAUUUCGGUAUGUAAAGCUCUAUCAGCAGGGAAGAAAAUGACGGUACCUGACUAAGAAGCCCCGGCUAACUACGUGCCAGCAGCCGCUGUAAUACGUAGGGGGCAAGCGUUAUCCGGAUUUACUGGGUGUAAAGGGGGCGUAGACGGCGGUGCAAGCCAGAUGUGAAAGCGCGGGGCUCAACCCCGGGACUGCAUUUGGAACUGGGCUGCUAGAGUGGCGGAGAGGCAGGCGGAAUUCGUAGUGUAGCGGUGAAAUGCGUAGAUAUUAGGAGGAACACCAGUGGCGAAGGCGGCAUGCUGGACGAUGACUGACGUUGAGGCUCGAAAGCGUGGGGAGCGAACAGGAUUAGAUACCCCUGUAGUC